This 253-nucleotide ribosomal RNA is filed under the name uncultured bacterium. Its description in RNAcentral is "partial 16S ribosomal RNA". It matches the Rfam family "Bacterial small subunit ribosomal RNA", at positions 524 to 776 of the family's 1533-position model. The record is from RNAcentral.
GACGGAGGGUGCUAGCGUUGUUCGGAAUGACUGGGCGUAAAGGGCGCGUAGGCGGCCGCUUGCGUCGGAUGUGAAGGCCCGGGGCUCAACCCCGGAACGGCAUCCGAUACGGGGCGGCUCGAGACCGAGAGAGGUGAGUGGAAUACCCAGUGUAGAGGUGAAAUUCGUAGAUAUUGGGAAGAACACCGGUGGCGAAGGCGGCUCUCUGGACCGAUACUGACGCUGAGGCGCGAAAGCGUGGGGAGCAAACAGG